UUUCAAUGUUCUCAAAAAAGAUUCAGAAGAUGCUGCCGUGGGCAGUUUUUACUUGAUGAACAGCUUCUCCAUGUUCUUUUCGGUAGCCGAAUUUAAUUUUAGUAUCAUCACUGUCUGCAUAAGGAUCUGCCUGUGUACAGUGUACCGGCACUGACACGGCUGGACCUUUAUUUAGCUGAUUUCUGUUUGGACAGAAGAGCUUUCGUGCGGUUGGCGAACUAUCAUCAGUCUGUGGACAUUUGGGCUUAUUAUGUUUAAAUUCUACAAAUAUAUGCACAAGUAAUCAGGCCAUAAUUUUUAACUAUAGCUCAUGUACUGUACUGUCCGAUUGGAUGGCGAACUUGUGCCUUUCCCCCACAUGUUCUUGAAUACUCACUUCCACGGGUCUACCUAAUUUUCUAGCAUCGUGUAUCUGUACAUGCACCCGGAUGACCUGCUAGUCGCUGGGGAUGGCAUUAUUAUCGUUUGUGCCUGAUUAAAUGUGGUUAAGAAUUCCACAAGAGCAGCAUAUAAAAUUCGUGCAGAAAAAGGUGAGGAACGCAAUGGAAACAGCCAGGUAACCUUUUAUAUCCCCAUUACAAACAGAUGCUACAAGCGCACUGCAAAAUAGGUAAGACCAAGAUGUGCGUUAAUAAUUCAAUAGUUAAUCCCAGGAAAGAUGUCUAAGGAAAUGAAGUCGGCAAUGUUGGACUGGGAAUUCAACCAAGCAACUGGAAUGAAACAGGACACACAAUAUACAACCCGUAUACAUCGAAUUACGCAACCGCAUGAACGUGGACGACACCCACAACCAGUAUUAAAUAUCAAUAUCAACAGAGCACAAUGUAUGUAGCUGUUUGGUUUUGCUGAUUUCUUCGUGCAAGUAGAGUGGCUCAUAAUAUUUUACCUAUCUGGCGAAUUAAUAUUUGCUGCUCUUUUGUACUACGGGCCAUGCAUUACCAUCAACGGGACAUCUUAAUGUCUUGAAGAUCUUGAUCAGCUGCAAAUAUGAGCGAGUACAAGUGUGCACUUGAUUGUUAAUUUGCUUAGCAUGCAGAUCCAGAACCAGUCACUUUCAAGUAUUGUAGUUUAAACCCAAUAUACUCGUACGUGGAAAGUUCA
Molecule: long non-coding RNA, 1101 nt
Organism: Paramacrobiotus metropolitanus
Lineage: Eukaryota; Metazoa; Tardigrada; Eutardigrada; Parachela; Macrobiotidae
Exons: 3
Source: RefSeq, a predicted model, not a curated record